This 274-nucleotide long non-coding RNA is filed under the name Sorghum bicolor (sorghum). RNAcentral describes it as "long non-coding RNA (SBIC_LNC018140)". Lineage: Eukaryota; Viridiplantae; Streptophyta; Magnoliopsida; Poales; Poaceae. The record is from RNAcentral.
CAUAGGGUUUUGUUUUUCUCUUUUUUUUAAGUUGAGCACUUGAUCAUGUUGAGGUCAUAACCAUGAUCAUCUCUUGCUCCAUCACUUGGCAUGUACCAACCUCAUUAAGUCUACACACACUUAGCAUAGAGGUUAGUACUAGGGUUUCAUCAAUUAUCCAAAACCAAACUAGGGCUUUCACCAUGUGUGAGGGGUUUCUUAGGAUCGCUACACACUAGGACAUGUGGAUUCACUUGUUCUUUGUGGACAUCUCCUUGAAGUCCGGUGGCAUGGG